Molecule: ribosomal RNA, 229 nt
Filed under: uncultured bacterium
Lineage: Bacteria
Description: partial 16S ribosomal RNA
Rfam family: Bacterial small subunit ribosomal RNA
Source: RNAcentral
UGCGUAGGCGGAAAAUUAAGUCAGUGAUGAAAUCCUGCAGCUCAACUGUAGAACUGUCAUUGAUACUGAUUUUCUUGAAUACAGUUGAGGUAGGCGGAAUAUGUAAUGUAGCGGUGAAAUGCUUAGAUAUUACAUAGAACACCAAUUGCGAAGGCAGCUUACUAAACUGUGAUUGACGCUGAGGCACGAAAGCGUGGGGAGCGAACAGGAUUAGAUACCCUGGUAGUCC